CACACACACACACUCACACGCGCGCACACACACGUUACUUUAAUUUUAUAACCCGAGCACCCGAGGUAGCUCAUCUCGGUGGAUCUGUGAGGCACAUGUAGUGCAGAUGGUGUGUGUGGGGCGGAGGAGACGAGUGUGAGGUCUCACCUUGGGGGGAGGAGAUAUUAACUCUGGCAAAUUUUUACUGCCUGAAUUUCCCUUUUACAGCUAUUAACAUCUGCCAUCUGCACGGAAGCUGCGACCUCCCUCUCACAGAGCCCGUGUCAUAAAAGCUUCUCUGCUGAUUGUGGGAGACUGACAAGAGCGCAUCAAGGCUAAGAAAAAUUAAAGAAUUAAAGAAUUAAAAAGCUGCCAAUCCUGACACCAGUGUUCAAACAGGCGGAGAAUCAUUCAGACGGCUGAAUGAAACAGGGAAUCAUUCUAGGAACAAAUACGAGUGAGGCUUCAUGUUCUGUGUGUGUGCGUGUGUGUGUAUGUGUGUGUGUAUGCAUACAAAAUCAUUAGUUCAUACUAGUUCAUGACUAUACAUUUAGACUAUAUGUUUUACAAGACAUGAGUAAAAUAAUUUCCUGAAAUAUUUAUGUGGUAAACAACGGCUAAAUUGGUAGCUUUUUUUUUUGUACACUCAAUUGAUGGUAAAUUGAAAAAAACAACAACAACAACAACAUGAGACUCAAAAACGUGAUGAAUAAAUAAUUAACCCCACCUGGAUUCUGAUUUUGAUUAUACAGAUCAGUGUUUUUUGUUGACACUACAUUAUAUUCACAUUACGACAUUUGAAAAUGGAGACCAUUUCAGUUUUCCUGUACAAAACUGUUUUAGGGGCGGAGCUACACAUGUCUAAAUAAGGUUAAAGGAUGGUCAAAAGUGCAAAUUGUUAGAGGUGCAUCUUUAACUACAGAAGCAGCGAGUUUAGCCAGCUGACUAAUCUAAUAUUAGUAAUGAACAAAAUCGUGGUUGUCAUGGUAACAUUAUACAGUAAAGCUUUGUUAAAUAAAUAGCUGAAAAUCUGAUAAUUGUAAGGCAGUUAACUCACAGUUAACUAGCCGGCUAGCUAUUUGUAAUGGCAGGAAGGAUUUGGGGGAGUUUCCUAAUUUGCAUAUUCAUGCAUAUUUAUAGGGUCAGCCGUUUUUUUGGGGACAAUUUUGUAGAUUUUUAAUGGUUUAAUAUUACAUGUCUAGCAGUACUUUAAACAACGAUUUUUUCCUCCAAGGUGAACAUAGUCAUUAUUUCCGGGGAAAGGGAGCAGGGUGUUAGUUCGUCGCCGGUUCUCCAGGAGGACCACAGAUCAGUCAGAACAAACCCAGACUGACAGGGGCGUGAUGAGGGCCGCUGCCCUUUGGCUCUCCCCAUACCGGCCCACCGUUCAGCCAACACACACGGCCUAGAAUGCCUAGCAGCCAGCUACACGACAACAUCUGUUCAUUCGGAUGGCACCAGCAGGGUGCUGCCCGCUCCACAGCACGCCUGGCACACAGAACUUACAGAACAGACAGGUGGCUCGGCCAAUCAGCGGCUCUGAACCAGCUGAACCCGAGCUCAUGCUUUCUUCUCCUGCUCGGCUUCAGUGAACCGCAGCAAUCUCGUACUGUCUCCUGGCUCUCGCUAUGUGCCAUCUGGAUAAAGAGGAGGAGGGAUGAGGGGCGUGUCCUGCUCCUGGUGCCACCCCAUGCCCAUGAUUUUAUUUGUAUAGUAUUUUUAACAAUACACAAGAGAUAUACAGAUGUACAUUCACAUUUAGAUCGCUAAUGAGCUCGCCAGAAGAGAAAAUUCCCUGACGCAACAGGAGAAAAAAUCCCUGAGAGGACCCACACUCAAAAGAGAACGUGUCCGGUUGAGAUUAUAAAUCGUUACAGAAUACAGGUGUAGAAGAAUAAAGACAAACAUUACUAAGUGUACGGAAAGGAUGUUCAUUAUGAGCAUUAUGAGGACAGUCUUUAUGAUCACAACAAGUCUAGAGGUAUCCAAUAAAGCACUAAAAUAUUUUUUGGAAGGUACAGAUCUUUAGGGUAUUCAUUGGGAUGUUUCUGAUACAUCCAGGAUAGAGUUUAGUGCACUGUGCUCGAAAAGAACUAGCGAAGAAUGUUCAGCUCAAACAUCAAGCAGCUCAAUCAUUACAUUAGCCGGCACUGCUGGCACCCGGUGUACACCUAGAUGAUCCGUGAUCGCAUUAAGAUCCAGAAGUCAAAGGAGGUUCACUUCAUGUUUGACAUGGCAAACGUUGGAGUAGAGAUAUUUCUGUAAUCCAUAAUAAUUCAAUAGAAGCUAAAUUUACUUUCCCCCUCAGCAGGAACAUGCGAUUGCACCUCAUCUCCUCGCCGUGUUUGUUUGUAACACAGGGAAACUGAACGUAGCAUGGUGAGAAGAGACGUGGGAGAGCAGAGUACAAAAGCCAAUUAACAGCUCAUUAGUACCAAAGCAGUUCAAUCCAAUUAAACACUGCCUCUUUUGUUUGCUCCUGCUUCCUUUUUUUGUCGUUGGCCCCCAUGAUUUAACACUUUCAAGCUGUGGUUUUUUUUUUCCCAAGAUGAUUUUUCCUUUCCAUAUCACUUGUCAGCGGAGAAGACAAAUAGCGCGGGUGUUUGGCAAGUGUUUAUUUUCGUCUCGGGCAGCACAAGAGUUCAAUAGCAGUCACCUCGUCUUCUCGCCGAGCCCUGCAAGUGUGCCCGCAGUUGUCUGCUGCACUUAGCUUCCUCGUUAAUAUUACAGGCCUUCAGAGAGAUGCACUGCUGAGAGGAUCCGUAACCUCUGAACUGUUCCACCACACAGAAAACAAGCUCGCACACACACAGAGAGAGAGAGAGAGAGAGAGGCACAGCAAAGUACAGAAACGCAUGCAAAUAAAGACUCCUACACAGAAAAUUGUGCGCAUGCCUGAACGCAUGGAUCUUGUUAAGGCACAGCAUUGAACCGUCACUAAUUAUACUGCAGAAACAAUCAUGACAAACACAGUGGUCGAGAAAACUGUGGAAAAAAUAAGUAAAAAUAUAAAUAACACAAGGUUCAAAUUAUUGGGGAUACCAAAAAUCUGGUGAUAUUUAUGAGCAAUCCAGCCUACUAACUACUGAAGCCUUGAUAAUGUAACAGACAAAAAAUAAAUAAAUAAAUAAAAACCCAAGAAAAUCCUCUAAGAUAUAGCGUAUACACGAAUACACUAUUAUUAGUGAUUAAUAUCAGACAUCCUUCUCGGAUAAAACAUGAGCUCAUACCUGUUUUAUUUUCUCUUUAUGUCAGUGAAAUAGCUGUGAAAAUGAAUGAACAAUUAUGAAUAUUAUGUUAAAAAUCCUGUUUACAUUCAGCUCAUUUUAACUAGCUGGCUGGCUAGCUAGAGUUAAUAGUGAAGACUUUGAGUAUUCAUGAAUAUGACUUAAAAAUCCUGUCAGGUUAGCUCAUAUUAGCUAGCUGGCUAGUGUUUAGUACUACAGAUUUUGAGUUUUCAUGAAUAUGAUGUAAAAAAAAUCCUGUCAGGUUAGCUCAUAUUAGCUAGCUGGCUAGUGUUAACAGUGAAGAUUGUGAGUUUUUAUGAUGAUGAGAAAAAUGAUCAGGGAGCUCUCUGACUCUUUUAAUUAAGAUUUCAAUCCCCUCAGAAAAUACUGACUUCAGGUUAAGUCAUACUACAUAUUUGUUAUAAUGAACGCUAAAUGUUUUUGUUUUUUUCUAUUCACGUCUGAAAGUGCACAUGAAAAUGACCAUUUUAAUCUACUCCUACAACAGGCUAUACCAUUUCUUUACUGAUGACACUGCCUCAAGCUUCCUAAUUACUUAGGCUAGCUAGCUAGCCACAAGAUUGCAAACAUAACCCUUCAAAUGUCAUUAUUGUGAAUCAUCCUCCCUGAAAUUAACCUGUGAUGAUGUCAGGAGAAUUGUGAAAGUUAGAAAAAAAUAGUAAGAGCAAAUAAAAGGAUGAGGGUGGAAAAAAAGAGAAAUUGUUUGUCUCCUCACGCUAACUCAGUAACUGAGUCACCCGCUUUGUAACACCAACAGUGCAGCAAGGCCAACCUUGAUCUGAAGAAAAAUAGGAGAAUGCUGAGGGGUUAAGAAGGAGUGUGAGACCCAGAAAGAGGAAGGGGGGAGAAAAAGAGGGAAAAGAAAGAAGGAGAGAGGCUCCUUGCUGUGUUUGCGUUCCCCCCCACUGUCUGUGAGCAAUGCUGGUGGGUCAAUAAAGAACGCAGGGGGGUGAUGGGAAAAAAAGUGGAGUUAAAAAUGAAGUCUGGCAGAGGGGCGGGGCCACUCCUGGCGCGAGCUUGCUUCUACUGCAGGUGCAUGCUGUAGCUGCUGCCAAAGUGCCAACCUGCCCUCCAUAUGGCCGUCGCCGGCCUGCCAGCCAUCUCCCGCCACUUCCCACUGAGCCCAGCGCUGGCGCUCUACAUCUAAAUCUGUCCCAGUGCCCCAGGCCUCCCCCUGUUCCGUGCCCAGGCUUCGUGAGCCCACGCCAGGCCGGCGGGUCAGUCCUGGACUGCAGUGCCAACCGGCCAACAGACCAUCCUCUCCAUAUGGAGACUCGUAGCAUCGCAACUCAUCGUUCUCUCUCUCGUAUCCUCAUGAGUGGCAUCCAUCAGCCAUGAUCUACUCAUCUGUCUCUCUGUAUCUCUCCCCUUUCAGGCCAGAUCAAACACACACAGAGAAACAGAUUAGCUGUGGCAUAACAGCGAUUCAAUUAAAAUCCCUGAACCCUACCAAUAUUACCAAAUUCUCGAAUUACAGAGGAACCGACUGCUUUCAGGCUAUCCGUAUGAAGCUUUGGGGAUUGGCGUAGGGGCAAAGAAUCGCCUUUUUAUUAUCUACCUGUCUCUCUUCUCUUUGCACACUGGAUACCUGUGUACACUUCAAUGUGUGGGAUAUAACUACUUUUAACACGUUAUUUCUAUUUCCAGUCUGCUUGCACCACAUUGCUGACAGUAGCACUUCCUGGUUGCCCAUAAAUCCACAUAAACAGACCUAAAGCACUACAUCGUCCAAGACGAUAAAACAACACAGGAAUGUCACGCUCCCUCUUCCCUAUGUACUUUAUAGCUCCUCCUUUCUUCCAAUAAACAGAUAUUGAUUGAGCAAUAAUCCUCUCAGUCUCUGUCACCGCGUUUCACGAGCGUAAGCUAUUAGCCCAAUCACAUCGAGCUGCUGUUCUCCUUAAGCCUAGCUCAGAAAGAGUGAUCAGUUUGGUGGGGCUUAAAUUCACAACACCACACCACCAGAGACAGAUGGAGAGAAAGAGGAAAGAGGAGAGCAAGGAGAACUAGAGGGAAGCUCUGACCUCAAAGACACAUCUUUCAACCAAUCCUUUAACUCAUGUUAGCCAGCUAGUUAGUGUCGAAUAUGGGUAUUCAUUAAUAUGACCUGUCAUGUUAAAUCCUAUUAGCCAGCUACCUAAUAUUAGCGGGUAAUACAGUUCUUAAACAUUAACAAAACAACUUCAGAGGGUAGCUCAUAUAAGCUAUCUGGGUAAUAUUAGCAGUGAAGUUUACAAGUAUUCAUGAACAUGAUCUAAAAAUCCUGUCAGGUUAGCUAGCUUGGUAGCUUUAACUGCAAAUAUUUUAAAUAUUGUCUUAAAUAUCCUGUCA
Molecule: long non-coding RNA, 5558 nt
Organism: Ictalurus punctatus (channel catfish)
Lineage: Eukaryota; Metazoa; Chordata; Actinopteri; Siluriformes; Ictaluridae
Source: Ensembl